Apaloderma vittatum (bar-tailed trogon) is the source of this 73-nucleotide non-coding RNA. Lineage: Eukaryota; Metazoa; Chordata; Aves; Trogoniformes; Trogonidae. The record is from Rfam.
GGCCAGUUAGCUCAGUGAGUUGAGCAUGGUGCUAACAACACCAAGGUUGCAGGUUCAAUUCCCAUUCGGUCCC